CUAGUAAUAAACUAGCUCGUGUUCCAGCAGUCGAGACUGAGAGGUCGAUCGACCACAUUGGGUAUGAAAAAAGCCCAAGGCGAACAGCACAGCAGUGAGGAAUAUUGGUCAAUGGUCUAACGACUGAACCAGCAAUUUGGAAGAACGUAUAAUAAAUAAAUUAUUUAAAGUUCUAGAUAAAAUAUUUAUAAUGACUAUUUUUUAUCUAUAAGUCUUGGCCAAAUUACGUGCCAGCAGUCGCGGUAAUACGUAAAAGACGAGUGUUAUUCAUCUUUAAUCGGUUUAAAGGGUACCUAGACGGAAAAUCAAGCUUAAUUAAACUAAGGACUAGUUUUCUAGAGUUUGACAUGAGAAGGUACGAACUAUCAGAGGAGAGAUAAAAUUUGUUGAUACUGGUGGGACGGACAACGGCGAAGGCAAUCUUCUACUAAAAACUGACGUUGAGGGACGAAGCCUUGGGGAGCGAGAAGGAUUAGAUACCCUAGUAGUCCUUGGAGAAAAUUAUGAGUGCCAUAGACUAAAGUGAAAAAGAAGUUCUUUUAAAAGAACUUUGUAUCUGAGCCUUAAUUGGAUACAAAGGUCUCGAGUAGCAGUUUAUAAAUGAAAGUGUAAGCAUUCCACCUCAUGACUAAAGCGGCAACGCCCAAAUUGAAAUCAUUAGACCGUUUCUGAAACCAGUAGUGAAGUAUGUUAUUUAAUUCGAUAACCCGCGAAUAACCUUACCACGUUUUGAAUUUAUUAAACAAGUGUUGCACGGCUGUCUUCAG
Molecule: ribosomal RNA, 767 nt
Filed under: Chaetothyriales sp.
Lineage: Eukaryota; Fungi; Ascomycota; Eurotiomycetes; Chaetothyriales
Description: bacterial SSU rRNA
Rfam family: Bacterial small subunit ribosomal RNA
Source: RNAcentral